Molecule: ribosomal RNA, 960 nt
Filed under: uncultured organism
Description: bacterial SSU rRNA
Rfam family: Bacterial small subunit ribosomal RNA
Source: RNAcentral
UGACGGUACCCUACUAGAAAGGAGCCGCUAACUUCGUGCCAGAAGCGUCGGUAAUACGGGGGCUCCAAGCGUUAUCCGGUGUUAUUGGGCGUAAAGAGUCGUGUAGGUGGUUGGGUAAGUUAUCUUUCAAAUAUCUUUGCUUAACAAAGAGGAGGGGGAUAAUACUGCUCGACUAGAAUUUUCUCAAGGGAGAUCGGAACUGAGGGAGGAGUAGUGAAAUGCGUUGAUACCCUCGGGAACACCAGUGGCGUAGGCGGAUCUCUGGGAGAAGAUUGACACUGAGACACGAAAGCUAGGGGAGCGAAGCAGAUUAGAGGCCUGCGUAGUCCUAGCCGUAAACGCAUGCUUGCUAGCUGCAUGAAUCUACCUUCGGGUGGUAUCGUGUGGCGAAGGUAACCCGUUAAGCAAGCCGCCUGGAAAGUACGGCCGCAAGGCUGAAAUUCAAAGGAAUUGGCGGGGAGGCACACAACCAGUGGAACAUGUGGUUUAAUUCGAGACUAACCGAAGAACCUCACCAGGGUUUGACAUGUAGCUGCACGUCUUAAGAAAUUAAGACUCUCUUGAAGGUGCUACACAGGUGCUGCAUGGCUGUCGUCAGCUCGUUCCGUGAGGAGUGCCCUUAAGUGGGACAACGAGCGCAACCCCUAUUACAUGUUAGAAAUGUCAUGUAAGACUGCCUUGCCAUUUGGCGGGGAGGAAGGAGGGGCAGACGUCAAGUCCGCAUGGUCCUUAUGCCCUGGGCUACACACAUGUUACAAUGAGUACGGCAAUGAGUCCGUCGCGAGCACGUAAGUGUAAGCUAAUCUCUUAAAUGUACUCUCAGUGGGGAUUGAGGUCUGCAACUCGACCUCAUGAACACGGAAUUGGUAGUAAUCGCGGGUCAGCUAUACCGCGGUGAUACGUUCUUGCCUCUUGCACACACCGCCCGUCAAACCAGCAAAGUCGAUUGUAUCCGAACCU